This 23-nucleotide small nuclear RNA is filed under the name Arabidopsis thaliana (thale cress). Its description in RNAcentral is "snRNA_12648". Lineage: Eukaryota; Viridiplantae; Streptophyta; Magnoliopsida; Brassicales; Brassicaceae. The record is from RNAcentral.
AUUAUUACCGAACCAUUCUAAAA